GCCCGGGUGGUGGAAUUGGUAGACACGCAGGACUUAAAAUCCUGUAUCUGUUGAGGAUGUACGGGUUCAAGUCCCGUCCUGGGUA
Molecule: transfer RNA, 85 nt
Filed under: Sphingobacteriales bacterium
Lineage: Bacteria; Pseudomonadati; Bacteroidota; Sphingobacteriia; Sphingobacteriales
Description: tRNA-Leu
Rfam family: tRNA
About the family: Transfer RNA (tRNA) molecules are approximately 80 nucleotides in length. Their secondary structure includes four short double-helical elements and three loops (D, anti-codon, and T loops).
Source: RNAcentral